GCGGUUAAAAAGCUCGUAGUCGAAUCUGUGUCCCGCGCCGCCGGUUCAUCGUCCGCGGUGUUAACUGGCGUGUCGCGGGACGUCCUGCCGGUGGGCUUAGCCUUCGGCGGCCCAACUCAAUCCCGCCGCGGUGCUCUUCACUGAGUGUCGAGGUGGGCCGGCACGUUUACUUUGAACAAAUUAGAGUGCUUAAAGCAGGCUAAAACUUCGCCUGAAUACUGUGUGCAUGGAAUAAUGGAAUAGGACCUCGGUUCUAUUUUGUUGGUUUUCGGAACCCCGAGGUAAUGAUUAAUAGGAACGGAUGGGGGCAUUCGUAUUGCGACGUUAGAGGUGAAAUUGUUGGACCGUCCCUGGUUGAUCCUGCCAGUAGGAUUGCACUUUGUCAAGAGAAGUUAAGGCGAAGGCGAUCAGAUACCCAUAAACGAUGCCAGCUAGCGAUCCGCCGACGUUCCUCCGCUGACUGAACCUUACGAGAAAUCGGUGUUUUUGGGGUCUGGGGGGAGUAUGGUCGGAAGGCUGAAACUUAAAGGAAUUGACGGAAGGGCACCACCAGGAGUGGAGCCUGCGGCUUAAUUUGACUCAACACGGGAAACCUCACCAGGCCCGGACACCGGAAGGAUUGACAGAUUGAGAGCUCUUUCUUGAUUCGUGGGUGGUGGUGCAUGGCCGUUCUU
Molecule: ribosomal RNA, 674 nt
Filed under: Amphicrossus ciliatus
Lineage: Eukaryota; Metazoa; Arthropoda; Insecta; Coleoptera; Nitidulidae
Description: SSU rRNA
Rfam family: Eukaryotic small subunit ribosomal RNA
Source: RNAcentral